AUUUUUUGCCUAUGCCUCUCUUCCACCUUCCACCCUCAUUCCCCCUCUACGCAAAAUUUCCAAAGACUUGGUGAAGAUAGGAAAACUAUCAGAAAGGCAGUGGCACCAUUAUCCUAACUGUUUUGUACUGAGUCUGAAGUCAUCUUUGGCCUGUAACAAGAGCAUGCAUUUUCAAGUGUCAGUUAGAUUUGCGGAUUAAUAAAGGUCUCCUGAAAGGUAGUCACUUUUUUU
RNAcentral lists this long non-coding RNA (231 nucleotides) under Ursus maritimus (polar bear). RNAcentral describes it as "lncRNA (ENSUMAG00000018141.1)". The record is from RNAcentral. Lineage: Eukaryota; Metazoa; Chordata; Mammalia; Carnivora; Ursidae.